RNAcentral lists this ribosomal RNA (326 nucleotides) under uncultured eukaryote. RNAcentral describes it as "partial 18S ribosomal RNA". It matches the Rfam family "Eukaryotic small subunit ribosomal RNA", at positions 1470 to 1796 of the family's 1831-position model. The record is from RNAcentral.
CCCUUAGAUGUUCUGGGCCGCACGCGCGCUACACUGAUGCAUUCAACAAGCCUAGCCUUGACCGAGAGGUCCGGGUAAUCUUUGAAACUGCAUCGUGAUGGGGCUAGAUUAUUGCAAUUAUUAAUCUUCAACGAGGAAUGCCUAGUAAGCGUGAUUCAUCAAAUCGCGUUGAUUACGUCCCUGCCCUUUGUACACACCGCCCGUCGCUCCUACCGAUUGAAUGUGUUGGUGAGGAGCUCGGAUUGGCAGCAGUUGGUGGUUCGCCACCGGCUAUUGCUGAGAAGUCCUCCAAACCGCCCCAUUUAGAGGAAGGAGAAGUCGGAACA